CACCCUUGAAACCCCUUAUCUCUGAAACACUCUCUAUGCUCUCCUAAACCCUAAUCACCUCAUGUCUUAUCUCACCUCAUUCCCACCGGAAUCCAUGGCAUCUCCAGUCGUGGAUAGCCUGUGGUCACCCUCUAUCAUCUUUGAGCCUAAGCUACUCAAGGUUUGGAGGCUUGACCUCGAUGGUCUCUUUUCAGAUCCGCCUUAAAUCCGUAGAUCUAUGGUUUUCCGACCACGCUCCGGCAUGGUCAAGCACUGGAAGCUUAAUUCAUGAACAUUUGGACUAGGGAUUUGAUCUUGUUCUUUCAAGACUUAAUCACAUCUAGGAUUUCUCUGAAACCCUAAGUCAUUCUAGGUUCUUUCACCAUUAUUUGUUUUGAUCUGUGCUAUGUAUAUGUUCUUCAUAAUGUUUUGAGUGUUUUCCCCAAAUUUCCUUCUCAAAAAUCGUUUGAUUUCAAAUUAGGGUUUCUGAAAGUCUUUUGAUUCUUGUUGUUCUUUUCUUUUAGAUGUUUGUCUGUAUUAUGCUCGUAUGUUUUCCUUCUCUAUUACGCAUGUAUUGUCCUUCUUUUCUUUUAUAUGUAUGCUCGCAUGAUUAAGCGGUGUUAAAUUAUCCUCACUCUUCUACCAUGUGUGUUUACUAUUGAGUUUCUUGAAUUUUGCAUUUCUGAACUCUGUUUGUGUUCUUGUUAAGCAUGUUUCGUCUAUUCCGGACUUGUCUAAGUUCCGAAAUUCCAAAACAUGUCCUUUUAUUCUCUUAAAUGGAUUUUCUUUCUCUGAUAGUUUCAAACCUGCUAUCAUGGUUUGUUUGUUUCUCAUGAGACUCCUUGAGCCUGUUCACCUACCUUCUCG
RNAcentral lists this long non-coding RNA (846 nucleotides) under Nicotiana benthamiana. RNAcentral's name for it is "long non-coding RNA (NBEN_LNC032749)". Lineage: Eukaryota; Viridiplantae; Streptophyta; Magnoliopsida; Solanales; Solanaceae. The record is from RNAcentral.